GCGUCGCUAUACAUGCAAGUCGAACGCUUCUUUUUCCACCGGAGCUUGCUCCACCGGAAAAAGAGGAGUGGCGAACGGGUGAGUAACACGUGGGUAACCUGCCCAUCAGAAGGGGAUAACACUUGGAAACAGGUGCUAAUACCGUAUAACAAUCGAAACCGCAUGGUUUUGAUUUGAAAGGCGCUUUCGGGUGUCGCUGAUGGAUGGACCCGCGGUGCAUUAGCUAGUUGGUGAGGUAACGGCUCACCAAGGCGACGAUGCAUAGCCGACCUGAGAGGGUGAUCGGCCACAUUGGGACUGAGACACGGCCCAAACUCCUACGGGAGGCAGCAGUAGGGAAUCUUCGGCAAUGGACGAAAGUCUGACCGAGCAACGCCGCGUGAGUGAAGAAGGUUUUCGGAUCGUAAAACUCUGUUGUUAGAGAAGAACAAGGAUGAGAGUAACUGUUCAUCCCUUGACGGUAUCUAACCAGAAAGCCACGGCUAACUACGUGCCAGCAGCCGCGGUAAUACGUAGGUGGCAAGCGUUGUCCGGAUUUAUUGGGCGUAAAGCGAGCGCAGGCGGUUUCUUAAGUCUGAUGUGAAAGCCCCCGGCUCAACCGGGGAGGGUCAUUGGAAACUGGGAGACUUGAGUGCAGAAGAGGAGAGUGGAAUUCCAUGUGUAGCGGUGAAAUGCGUAGAUAUAUGGAGGAACACCAGUGGCGAAGGCGGCUCUCUGGUCUGUAACUGACGCUGAGGCUCGAAAGCGUGGGGAGCAAACAGGAUUAGAUACCCUGGUAGUCCACGCCGUAAACGAUGAGUGCUAAGUGUUGGAGGGUUUCCGCCCUUCAGUGCUGCAGCUAACGCAUUAAGCACUCCGCCUGGGGAGUACGACCGCAAGGUUGAAACUCAAAGGAAUUGACGGGGGCCCGCACAAGCGGUGGAGCAUGUGGUUUAAUUCGAAGCAACGCGAAGAACCUUACCAGGUCUUGACAUCCUUUGACCACUCUAGAGAUAGAGCUUCCCCUUCGGGGGCAAAGGUGACAGGGUGGUGCAUGGGUUGUCGUCAGCUCGGUGUCGUGAGAUGUUGGGGUUAAGUCCCGCCAACGGAGGCGGCAACCCCCUUU
RNAcentral lists this ribosomal RNA (1105 nucleotides) under Enterococcus sp. Taj-KH 5. RNAcentral describes it as "bacterial SSU rRNA". It matches the Rfam family "Bacterial small subunit ribosomal RNA", at positions 42 to 1109 of the family's 1533-position model. Lineage: Bacteria; Bacillati; Bacillota; Bacilli; Lactobacillales; Enterococcaceae. The record is from RNAcentral.